GUAAUGCCGGAUGCUCCGGUUGGAUGCAUGUCCUUCCGGGAAAGAUCCGUCGGUAUGGGAUGGGGUCGCGUCCUAUCAGCUUGAUGGCGGGGUAACGGCCCACCAUGGCUUCGACGGGUAGCCGGCCUGAGAGGGCGACCGGCCACAUUGGGACUGAGAUACGGCCCAGACUCCUACGGGAGGCAGCAGUGGGGAAUAUUGCACAAUGGGCGCAAGCCUGAUGCAGCGACGCCGCGUGCGGGAUGGAGGCCUUCGGGUUGUAAACCGCUUUUGAUCGGGAGCAAGCCCUUCGGGGUGAGUGUACCCUUCGAAUAAGCACCGGCUAACUACGUGCCAGCAGCCGCGGUAAUACGUAGGGUGCAAGCGUUAUCCGGAAUUAUUGGGCGUAAAGGGCUCGUAGGCGGUUCGUCGCGUCCGGUGUGAAAGCCCAUCGCUUAACGGUGGGUCUGCGCCGGGUACGGGCGGGCUGGAGUGCGGUAGGGGAGACUGGAAUUCCCGGUGUAACGGUGGAAUGUGUAGAUAUCGGGAAGAACACC
RNAcentral lists this ribosomal RNA (536 nucleotides) under uncultured Bifidobacterium sp. Its description in RNAcentral is "bacterial SSU rRNA". It matches the Rfam family "Bacterial small subunit ribosomal RNA", at positions 163 to 710 of the family's 1533-position model. Lineage: Bacteria; Bacillati; Actinomycetota; Actinomycetes; Bifidobacteriales; Bifidobacteriaceae. The record is from RNAcentral.